RNAcentral lists this ribosomal RNA (899 nucleotides) under Murinectria polythalama. Its description in RNAcentral is "LSU rRNA". It matches the Rfam family "Eukaryotic large subunit ribosomal RNA", at positions 35 to 965 of the family's 3401-position model. The record is from RNAcentral. Lineage: Eukaryota; Fungi; Ascomycota; Sordariomycetes; Hypocreales; Nectriaceae.
UAAGCAUAUCAAUAAGCGGAGGAAAAGAAACCAACAGGGAUUGCCCUAGUAACGGCGAGUGAAGCGGCAACAGCUCAAAUUUGAAAUCUGGCCCUUGUGGUCCGAGUUGUAAUUUGUAGAGGAUGCUUUUGGUGAGGUGCCUUCCGAGUGCCCUGGAACGGGACGCCAUAGAGGGUGAGAGCCCCGUCUGGUUGGACACCGAGCCUCUGUAAAGCUCCUUCGACGAGUCGAGUAGUUUGGGAAUGCUGCUCUAAAUGGGAGGUAUAUGUCUUCUAAAGCUAAAUAUUGGCCAGAGACCGAUAGCGCACAAGUAGAGUGAUCGAAAGAUGAAAAGCACUUUGAAAAGAGGGUUAAAAAGUACGUGAAAUUGUUGAAAGGGAAGCGCUUGUGACCAGACUUGGGCCCGGUCAAUCAUCCAGGGUUCUCCCUGGUGCACUUGGCCGGCCCAGGCCAGCAUCAGUUUGUCGCGGGGGAUAAAGACGUUGGGAAUGUGGCUCCUCCGGGAGUGUUAUAGCCCUUCGUGCAAUACCCUGCUUCGGACUGAGGUUCGCGCAUCUGCAAGGAUGCUGGCGUAAUGGUCAUCAGCGACCCGUCUUGAAACACGGACCAAGGAGUCGUCUUCGUAUGCGAGUGUUCGGGUGUCAAACCCCUACGCGUAAUGAAAGUGAACGCAGGUGAGAGCUUCGGCGCAUCAUCGACCGAUCCUGAUGUUCUCGGAUGGAUUUGAGUAAGAGCAUACGGGGCCGGACCCGAAAGAAGGUGAACUAUGCCUGUAUAGGGUGAAGCCAGAGGAAACUCUGGUGGAGGCUCGCAGCGGUUCUGACGUGCAAAUCGAUCGUCAAAUAUGGGCAUGGGGGCGAAAGACUAAUCGAACCUUCUAGUAGCUGGUUUCCGCCGAA